RNAcentral lists this non-coding RNA (272 nucleotides) under Fermentimonas caenicola. Lineage: Bacteria; Pseudomonadati; Bacteroidota; Bacteroidia; Bacteroidales; Dysgonomonadaceae. The record is from RNAcentral.
GUUUGAACCAAUCCUUUACCAAAUGAUCUAUUACCUACAAUAACUGCUCGAUCAAGAUCCUGAAGUCCUCCUGCAACUAUUUCUGAUGCAGAAGCAGAACCGGUAUCGAUAAGUACUACUAUCGGUAUUAUUUCAUCCAGAGGUUGGUCUUGUGUGAAAUAACUUCUAUCCCAUUGAGUUACUUUACCUUUGGUUGAUACUAUUUCCUCACCCUUGGGAACAAAUAAAUUCACAACACUUACAGCUUCGUCUAAAAUUCCACCUCCAUUACC